This 1407-nucleotide long non-coding RNA is filed under the name Salmo salar (Atlantic salmon). Its description in RNAcentral is "lncRNA (ENSSSAG00000082735.1)". The record is from RNAcentral. Lineage: Eukaryota; Metazoa; Chordata; Actinopteri; Salmoniformes; Salmonidae.
GUACCAGACUGGUCAAAAUGCUAACCGUACUAUAUUAACACACAGAGCUGGUACCAGACAGGUCAAAAUGCUAACCGUACUGUAUUAACACACAGAGCAGGUACCAGACUGGACAAAAUGCUAACCGUACUGUAUUAACACACAGAGCAAGUACCAGACUGGUCAAAAUGCUAACCAUACUAUAUUAACACACAGAGCAGGUACCAGACUGGUCAAAAUGCUAACCGUACUGUAUCAACACACAGAGCAGGUACCAGACUGGACAAAAUGCUAACCGUACUGUAUUAACACACAGAGCAGGUACCAGACAGGUCAAAAUGCUAACCAUACUAUAUUAACACACAGAGCAGGUACCAGACUGGACAAAAUGCUAACCGUACUGUAUUAACACACAGAGCAGGUACCAGACAGGUCAAAAUGCUAACCAUACUAUAUUAACACACAGAGCAGGUACCAGACUGGACAAAAUGCUAACCGUACUAUAUUAACACACAGAGCAGGUACCAGACUGGUCAAAAUGCUAACCAUACUAUAUUAACACACAGAGCAGGUACCAGACUGGUCAAAAUGCUAACCGUACUGUAUUAACACACAGAGCAGGUACCAGACUGGACAAAAUGCUAACCGUACUAUAUUAACACACAGAGCAGGUACCAGACUGGUCAAAAUGCUAACCAUACUAUAUUAACACACAGAGCAGGUACCAGACUGGUCAAAAUGCUAACCGUACUGUAUUAACACACAGAGCAGGUACCAGACUGGACAAAAUGCCAACCGUACUGUAUUAACACACAGAGCAGGUACCAGACUGGACAAAAAUGCUAACCGUACUAUAUUAACACACAGAGCAGGUACCAGACUGGACAAAAUGCUAACCGUACUACAUUAACACACAGAGCAGGUACCAGACUGGUCAAAAUACUAACCGUACUGUAUUAACACACAGAGCAGGUACCAGACUGGUCAAAAUGCUAACCGUUCUAUAUUAACACACAGAGCAGGUACCAGACUGGUCAAAAUGCUAACCGUACUGUAUUAACAUUCAGGUGGCAGACUGCGCCUCUCAAAUGGCUAGUUGGCUCUAAGGGUAGUCUGAUGCUAUAGGAGUCGUUUUCUUCAGCUUGAUGGAACUUUAAGGCAUACAUACAUCACACCACUGAUAUCAUCACACAUGAUAUGGACGGCUGCAUAGGUUUUUUAUAGGCUUGAAAUGGCAGGGAGAUGUUCCUGUACGGACUCAUACAUCAAAAUGACAAAACCAUGGAUGUGAACUGGAUUAGAGAGGAAAGACAAAGGAUGUUGGAAGGAUUCUCUCUCUCGCGCUCUCUCUCUCUCUCUCUCCCUCUAUCCAUCUUUCCAUAUCCCCUUACCUCUCUUUCUCUCUGUCUCCACAUCUUUCUAUAUCUC